AGCAGCAUGGCGCAGUGGUAGCGCGCGGGGCCCAUAUCCAUUCGUACUGGAACCCCGAGGUCACUUGAUCGAAACAAGUUGCUGCUA
Non-coding RNA from Marasmius tenuissimus, 87 nucleotides. The record is from the annotation of a GenBank genome assembly. Lineage: Eukaryota; Fungi; Basidiomycota; Agaricomycetes; Agaricales; Marasmiaceae.